This 735-nucleotide long non-coding RNA is filed under the name Mus musculus (house mouse). RNAcentral's name for it is "predicted gene 3509 (Gm3509)". Lineage: Eukaryota; Metazoa; Chordata; Mammalia; Rodentia; Muridae. The record is from RNAcentral.
ACAGCUCAGGCAUCUGUGGCUGGAGGAACAUCUCAGAAAGGGCGUGGAAAGAUUGUAAGAGUCAUAAUAACAGGGAGUUGUGGAGAGUCAGACAUGACUCCAGGCAAAUAGGACUGUGCCUAAAAUGGAGAAGUCACAACAACAGGGGCCGACAACACAAGACCAGAAGCACAGAGCUGUACUCGGCCAUCGGCAUCAUGCCAGGACCAUGAAGCGCUGAAGAUGCAGACCAUUGCCCAUGACUUGGAAGGAACCAUACAAGACGCCCCUUGAGAAACAGUUCCCAGUAGUACAGGACUUUAUUUUCAGACAUUUCUCAGUGACUCUGCCAAACAGUGUAAGUGGAUAGAACAAAAGAUUGGCUUGUUUGGAAGCUUUUGUGAAAAGAUGAACUCCAAGAAAAAUAAACGAACUGAAAAAAAAAAAAAAAAAAAAAGCAGUAACCUAGAAACUCGCACCUGAUAAAACACCAUUGUGUUGGGUCUUUUAUGGGGCCAAGUUUCUGCACCUGUUGAUAUGCUAUAUGGGAACAAUACAUGUGAGCUUACUUCACCUAUAGAGACUUUAAGAAAACAAUGGGGUGAUGAGCAAUGUGGCAAUGUGUAGAAAAUUCCAAUCGCAACACCAGGAACAAAGUUCUAGCAGGAUGUCUUACUGGUCUGGAUUCUACUCUGUGUAUCAAGGGAGAAAAGUGACACCUUCUAAUUACGUUAAUAAAAUGUUUCCAUUUGGGAA